UACGUAGGUGGCAAGCGUUGUCCGGAUUUACUGGGCGUAAAGAGCGCGCAGGCGGUCGUUCAAGUCGCGUGUGAAAGCCCCCGGCUCAACUGGGGAGGGUCACGCGAUACUGAUCGACUCGAAGGCAGGAGAGGGUAGUGGAAUUCCCGGUGUAGUGGUGAAAUGCGUAGAUAUCGGGAGGAACACCAGUGUCGAAGGCGGCUCGCUGGGCCGGACCUGACGCUGAGGCGCGAAGGCGUGGGGAGCGAACGGG
This 253-nucleotide ribosomal RNA is filed under the name uncultured bacterium. RNAcentral's name for it is "partial 16S ribosomal RNA". It matches the Rfam family "Bacterial small subunit ribosomal RNA", at positions 524 to 776 of the family's 1533-position model. The record is from RNAcentral.